UAAGCAAGGUAAGAGGGUCCCCCUGGGAAUUCGGGCCCAGGGAAACUCCCCAGGAGAGCAUUGGGAGGUGGAUUUCACAGAGAUUAAGCCACCAGCAUCAGGGUAUAAGUACCUGCUAGUUUUUAUAGACUCCUUCUUGGGAUGGGUUGAAGCCUAUCCCACCAGGACAGAAACUGCCUCUAUAAUGGUCAAGAAAUUACUCCAGGAGAUUAUACCUAGAUUUGGGCUACCAGCAGUCAUAGAAUCAGAUAACAGCCCCGCCUUUGUAGCCAAAGUAUCUCAAAGUAUAACUCAAGUCUUAGGCAUAAAUUGGAAACUCCAUUGUGCAUACCAGCCACAGAUUCAGGGCAGGUAU
Molecule: long non-coding RNA, 355 nt
Organism: Myotis davidii
Lineage: Eukaryota; Metazoa; Chordata; Mammalia; Chiroptera; Vespertilionidae
Exons: 2
Source: RefSeq, a predicted model, not a curated record